UACAGAGGGUGCAAGCGUUAAUCGGAAUUACUGGGCGUAAAGCGUGCGUAGACGGUUGCGUAAGUCAGAUGUGAAAGCCCCGGGCUUAACCUGGGAAUGGCAUUUGGGACUGCAAGGCUUGAGUGCGGCAGAGGAGACUGGAAUUCCUGGUGUAGCAGUGAAAUGCGUAGAUAUCAGGAGGAAUACCGAUGGCGAAGGCAGGUCUCUGGGCUGACACUGACGCUCAUGCACGAAAGCGUGGGGAGCGAACAGG
Molecule: ribosomal RNA, 253 nt
Filed under: uncultured bacterium
Lineage: Bacteria
Description: partial 16S ribosomal RNA
Rfam family: Bacterial small subunit ribosomal RNA
Source: RNAcentral